This 253-nucleotide ribosomal RNA is filed under the name uncultured bacterium. RNAcentral's name for it is "partial 16S ribosomal RNA". It matches the Rfam family "Bacterial small subunit ribosomal RNA", at positions 524 to 776 of the family's 1533-position model. The record is from RNAcentral.
UACGAAGGGGGCUAGCGUUGCUCGGAAUCACUGGGCGUAAAGGGCGCGUAGGCGGCGUUUUAAGUCGGGGGUGAAAGCCUGUGGCUCAACCACAGAAUGGCCUUCGAUACUGGGGCGCUUGAGUAUGGUAGAGGUUGGUGGAACUGCGAGUGUAGAGGUGAAAUUCGUAGAUAUUCGCAAGAACACCGGUGGCGAAGGCGGCCAACUGGACCAUUACUGACGCUGAGGUGCGAAAGCGUGGGGAGCAAACAGG